This 95-nucleotide ribosomal RNA is filed under the name Escherichia coli. RNAcentral describes it as "partial 16S ribosomal RNA". The stretch from base 18 to 95 matches the Rfam family "Bacterial small subunit ribosomal RNA", at positions 1 to 78 of the family's 1533-position model. The record is from RNAcentral. Lineage: Bacteria; Pseudomonadati; Pseudomonadota; Gammaproteobacteria; Enterobacterales; Enterobacteriaceae.
UUGAGCAUCAAACUUUUAAAUUGAAGAGUUUGAUCAUGGCUCAGAUUGAACGCUGGCGGCAGGCCUAACACAUGCAAGUCGAACGGUAACAGGAA